GAUAAGAACGUAGCGAAAUGCGAUAAGUAAUGUGAAUUGCAGAAUUCAGUGAAUCAUCGAAUCUUUGAACGCACAUUGCGCCCCCUGGUAUUCCGGGGGGCAUGCCUGUUCGAGCGUCAUUUCAUCACUCAAGCCUCGCUUGGUAUUGGGCAACGCGGUCCGCCGCGUGCCUCAAAUCGACCGGCUGGGUCUUCUGUCCCCUAAGCGUUGUGGAAACUAUUCGCUAAAGGGUGUUCGGGAGGCUACGCCGUAAAACAACCCCAUUUCUAAGGUUGACCUCGGAUCAGGUAGGGAUACCCGCUGAACUUAAGCAUAUCAAUAAGCGGAGGA
This 330-nucleotide unclassified non-coding RNA is filed under the name soil metagenome. Its description in RNAcentral is "partial contains 5.8S ribosomal RNA, internal transcribed spacer 2, and large subunit ribosomal RNA". The stretch from base 4 to 119 matches the Rfam family "5.8S ribosomal RNA", at positions 39 to 154 of the family's 154-position model. The record is from RNAcentral.